CCCAGACUCCUACGGGAGGCAGCAGUGGGGAAUAUUGCACAAUGGGGGAAACCCUGAUGCAGCGACGCCGCGUGAGUGAAGAGGUAAUUCGUUAUGUAGAGCUCUGUCAGCAGGGAAGAAACAGACGGUACCUGAGUAAGAAGCCCCGGCUAACUACGUGCCAGCAGCCGCGGUAAUACGUAGGGGGCAAGCGUUAUCCGGAUUUACUGGGUGUAAAGGGAGCGUAGACGGCGAAGAAAGUCUGAAGUGAAAGGCCGCGGCUUAACCGCGGAACUGCUUUGGAAACUUUUUUGCUGGAGUACCGGAGAGGUAAGCGGAAUUCCUAGUGUAGCGGUGAAAUGCGUAGAUAUUAGGAGGAAUACCAGUGGCGAAGGCGGCUUACUGGACGGUAACUGACGUUGAGGCUCGAAAGCGUGGGGAGCAAACAGGAUUAGAUACCCCAGUAA
RNAcentral lists this ribosomal RNA (446 nucleotides) under uncultured bacterium. RNAcentral's name for it is "bacterial SSU rRNA". It matches the Rfam family "Bacterial small subunit ribosomal RNA", at positions 330 to 793 of the family's 1533-position model. The record is from RNAcentral.